GAUGAACGCUGGCGGCGUGCCUAAUACAUGCAAGUCGAGCGAACGGACGAGAAGCUUGCUUCUCUGAUGUUAGCGGCGGACGGGUGAGUAACACGUGGAUAACCUACCUAUAAGACUGGGAUAACUUCGGGAAACCGUAGCUAAUACCGGAUAAUAUUUUGAACCGCAUGGUUCAAAAGUGAAAGACGGUCUUGCUGUCACUUAUAGAUGGAUCCGCGCUGCAUUAGCUAGUUGGUAAGGUAACGGCUUACCAAGGCAACGAUGCAUAGCCGACCUGAGAGGGUGAUCGGCCACACUGGAACUGAGAAACGGUCCAGACUCCUACGGGAGGCAGCAGUAGGGAAUCUUCCGCAAUGGGCGAAAGCCUGACGGAGCAACGCCGCGUGAGUGAUGAAGGUCUUCGGAUCGUAAAACUCUGUUAUUAGGGAAGAACAUAUGUGUAAGUAACUGUGCACAUCUUGACGGUACCUAAUCAGAAAGCCACGGCUAACUACGU
Molecule: ribosomal RNA, 496 nt
Filed under: uncultured bacterium
Lineage: Bacteria
Description: partial 16S ribosomal RNA
Rfam family: Bacterial small subunit ribosomal RNA
Source: RNAcentral